UGGCCUCCAAACAGCCCGUCUGCCGGCGGAAUGGGGGCAAGAUUCCAAGUUGGCAAGACUAAGUAUGUAGAACGCUUUGUAGAGGGCUUUCGGACGGGGGUUCAAUUCCCCCCGCCUCCACCA
Molecule: transfer-messenger RNA, 123 nt
Filed under: Neisseria dentiae
Lineage: Bacteria; Pseudomonadati; Pseudomonadota; Betaproteobacteria; Neisseriales; Neisseriaceae
Rfam family: transfer-messenger RNA
About the family: Bacterial tmRNA, also known as 10Sa RNA or SsrA, is named for its dual tRNA and mRNA-like properties. Its role is to liberate the mRNA from a stalled ribosome.
Source: Rfam by way of RNAcentral